GGCGUUUGUCGUCCUUUCUAUCUGUGCUUUGUGUGGUGUGGGGUUGUGUGUUCUGGUCUGUGUCUGGAGAACAACACCAACAAAAAGAUAUGGCAUUGACUGAACUGAAUGUACUGAAAUUUGCCCCCGGUGGUCACACUGGUCGGUUCUACAUCUGGAGUAUGGCUGCCUUCUGCUUACUGGGAACCUGGAGUAAACCUUCCUCCAUAGAGGAAAUUGAAUGGUCAACACAUGUUCCAUGAGUCCUGCACUGAAGACUCUCGGUAUAAUGAAGUGUAAUACUUGCGCCUAGACUGCAUAUGGCCAUGUGAUCUUGAAGCAACUUUUUUGUGCCGCAUAAUGAUUCCACUAUCUACAUGAAGAGCAAUGCUGCUAUGGAUUGUGACUGGUCGUGCUGCUAUAUGCUGAUAAGAUCUGAGUAUUGAUGGUGUAAUCCUGACUUGUAUGGGUGGCAUCUUUUGUAAGCCUACAAAUUUCAAGCUGGUCUACUAGGUAUUUUGUACAUCAGCGCUUGGUGGAUUUGGACGUGAUCUUGAGGUGUGAGAAGUUGUAUUCAGUUUGGGGAGUUUGAAGAGGACACUGAAGGGGGUGGAAACCAGAGGAACAUUUAAUUCCAACAACCCUAUAUGUAUGCCUCUGCUUUCAAAGUAUUGGCAUACGGUUUCUUCAUUGUUGGAAUGAGAACUUAUGAAACACCCUAGAUGUUUACAUUAGUAGUUACAUUAAGAUUUGUCCAGACUACUUUAUACAUUAAAUGUAUUAGAAAGUGCAAAGACUGCAGGUCAAGAGUAAGAUGAAGUACAGAAGAACUUUAUACCAAGAUGUCCACCAGUUCCUGCAAUUUGAACAGCUUUGCUCACAUGCUGCAGUUUCUACUCUUUCAAACAAUAAAUAUUAGCAAAUAUGCUUACA
Tachysurus vachellii is the source of this 912-nucleotide long non-coding RNA. RefSeq lists it as uncharacterized. The transcript has 6 exons. NCBI's taxonomy places the organism in Eukaryota, Metazoa, Chordata, Actinopteri, Siluriformes, Bagridae. The record is from RefSeq and is a predicted model, not a curated record.